Molecule: long non-coding RNA, 520 nt
Organism: Bubalus bubalis (water buffalo)
Lineage: Eukaryota; Metazoa; Chordata; Mammalia; Artiodactyla; Bovidae
Exons: 3
Source: RefSeq, a predicted model, not a curated record
GGGGAAGAGCAUAUCAGCUGCAAAAACUGUUCUCUGCUUCCUUGUUCACCACUUGAUGACUUCUCAGGGACACAGAAAAAAGACCACCACACUGAGCCCCUCUGCUGAAGUCUUCAAGGGCAAAGGAAAACACAAGAUCGAAGAGGAAAUACAACGUGAGUGGCGUUCAAUUCCAUAUGGUGAAGAGACACCAGAAUGUCAACGCUGGAGCAUCUGGACAAAGAAGAAACUGAGACCUGGAGAAGAGAAGAGGGAAGGAAACUAAAACAAAUGAGAAGCCAAAAGCCUGUCUCGGACCCCCACUGCCUCAUCUCCGGGCAUUCAAGCAGCUUCUUCUUCGCGGAAAAAUCAUCAGAAAGAAACUAGAGGUGGCACUGCACCAGAAGUCCAGUGGUUAAGACUCAGUGCUUCCACUAUAGGGGCAUGGAUUCAAUGCCUGGUCGAGGAGACUGCAAGCCUCGUGGCCUAGACGAAAGAAAGAAAGAAAGCAGAGGGGUAGGGAGUGAAAAAAAAAUCAAAC